Long non-coding RNA from Rhincodon typus (whale shark), 218 nucleotides. RefSeq lists it as uncharacterized. The record is from RefSeq and is a predicted model, not a curated record. NCBI's taxonomy places the organism in Eukaryota, Metazoa, Chordata, Chondrichthyes, Orectolobiformes, Rhincodontidae. The transcript has 2 exons.
AGCAUCAUAGGAGCAGAAAGGCUGACGUUUCGGGCCUAGACCCUUCAUCAGAAAAUGUAACCACUGCUGGUUUUUUUUCCUGAUACUGGUGUUGGAGUCAUCAGGACGAUGUCAAGAAUGUUCACGUAUCCCUCAAGGAGUAGGGGAUGUUAGGAAGAAUUGGAAUACGGAACUGUUGGAACAUAUUGAAUUAAAAGGAGUUAUCAAGAUUUUGAAAA